CUUCUGUCCCAUUGGACAGGCAACAUUUUAAAGGUCUGAAUGCAUCGUCACUGAGAUAUAGGACAACAGGAGCUAUUCUUCGGGUUUGAGAACCAAAAGGGACAAAUGGAGUGUUUAGGGAAACAUUUUGGCAGGGCCUGAUGUGAUGAUGCACGCCCUCUGACGCAUCGAAGCCAUCCCUGGGGACAUGCCCUAGAAAAACUGCUCUGCACCAGGAGACAAGUCGGUGGAUGUCACAGCCGGACAAUGGAACAUCCUUCCACCGUGGCAGUUCACAUCAGGAAAUACUACGUCGUUCAGAUGGGAGGCAGCCCCGGAGCCGUGACCUCGGGAAGCGAGUGGGACCAGGAGGCUCUGUCAUGAGCAGAACUCGAGAAACAAGAGCAGGGUCCAUGGGCCUCCGGUGGCAAUGAGACCUGCCAGCAGCUGCAUGAUGGACCAGGGCUAUGUACACACUUCACCGAGUCCAGCAACCUGGGAACAGACCGGUGCUGCUGCUCUUGGCCCUGUCAGAGAAGGUUCUGCUUUCCGUGAAUGGUGGCUGAUACAGAGAGACUCCCAUGGCUGGUCAAAGUGCUGAGAGCCAGUGACUCCUGAGUGCUUGAUUCUAACAGGACACGAUGCCAUCCCUGACAAGGCUCGGAGAACAUCACAGGAGAGGGAGGAGGGAAGAGCCGGGGGAUGGCGAGGAAGGCUGUGACGUGCUUGUUCUGGGCGUGACCCAGCCAUUGCACAUUGAACUCACAACAGUUGCACACGGACUGCACGAGCCCUGCCCUGCCAGCAUUCGGUCAUGGGUGGGGAAGAGGCUUCCAGGGGGCUGUUGGCAGCUAAUGGCUGCUGAGGGAAAGGGAGCCGUUGUCUUGGCUGGAGAAGGCACUAGUGAGAUCUCACGGGAAUGCGCAAAGACAGACAAUUCAACAGCCACGAGGAUGAUCACUUCCAGCAAAUUCAAAACUGGAGAAAAUACAUCCGGAGAAAACAGGAGGAAGGGCUGUUUUCCUGUUGAGAGCCAAGCUAGCCUAGGCUGGUCUCAAAGGAGGUUCAGGAGGCGGGAGGGCAGGGCUCGGUCGAGCAACCGGCCUCCCGUGGGCCUCAGGGUUUCCGAGCUGUGCUGGAUCCUAGGAGGCAGAUCUAUGAUCUCAUUGUCCCUCUUUCGCUAAGUCACAGAAGGAAACUUGCUGAGAAGCGUGGAGAGGCAGGUGCAGCCCUCAGCAAAUCCCAGCUGCCACUCCAACCCAGUCGCUGCCACGCACCACUCUGGCGUCUGCUCCCACUAGACCCACUAGAGGAGCUGAGCCGGGCGAGAGCCGUUCUGCCUCAUCAUGUCCGGCACAGAGCAGUGGAUAAAGGAGGCCCAGGUACACACCGUCUCUACAGGUCGCUCAAGCCCAAGGUGCCCUCACCUUACUCUUGGAGAUGCCCCCAGUGACCCAUCCAAUCCUGGUGCCUGAUCUGAAAGGGUCCGGAGGCUUCUGCGCUCUCAUACAGUGUCUGUACCCUACUCUAUAUUCAGGUGGUUCUGAGGGGAAAUGACGGCCCAUUGCAGGAAGCUAAAGAUGCUCUGUGCACAUGUUGGAGGAAUCCACGUAGUCUCCAUCGCAUCAGCCUACACCUCCGCUCCCAAGCUCCUUAGAACCAUCAAUGUCCUGGGGAAAGUGGGUAAGGGCCAUUGGAAGAUAUGCAAAGUGACCUCUCCCCCCCCCACCCCCCCACCUCCCAUUAAAGGCGGAAACCUGAACUGGAACAAAUAGAUUGUAGUACCGAGCGCGUAUCCACACAAUGCAGCAAAGUGAAUGGGAUUCAGUGUCUGUAACACACAGCGGAACCCUGAGAAUAUGCCGGGGAAACAGACCUAAGAGGACAGUGGUUUGUUCCUAUUACGAAGUACCUAGAACAGGAAACUCCUAGGAAGGGGAGUGGCCAGAUGGUAGCGAAGAAGCGGCUUUUAUUGGACAAGCACAGCUUUUCUUGGAGAUGGUGAAUACAGUGAUGGCGGUCACACACAAAAAAUGUCAAUUAACUGCCACCAAACUGUAAAUUUACAAAUGGUUAAAAUGGAAAUUUGUACAUGUAUUAUAUAUAUCUAAAAAACUAUUUGUUGGAGAAAAAGAAGCAACAAGAGAAUAAAGAAUUUUUGGAAAUUUAGAACAUAAUGGCAAAAACGGAAAACUAAAUAGGAGUAGGGAAUCAUGGGAUGGGCUGCUUUAAAAAUCAGCGUGACUCGGAAAGGCAGCCAAGGAGCUUGCUUAGAAAAAAAAAAACUGAGGACGCUAUUUGGAUUUAUAAUUAUUUCCAUCUUUAGUCAGUUCUAUUUCCAAAUAAGUCUGUGGUCUCAAUCUAAA
This is a long non-coding RNA of Peromyscus californicus insignis, 2345 nucleotides long. RefSeq lists it as uncharacterized. The record is from RefSeq and is a predicted model, not a curated record. Lineage: Eukaryota; Metazoa; Chordata; Mammalia; Rodentia; Cricetidae. The transcript has 4 exons.